CGCAAGCCUGACGGAGCAACGCCGCGUGUGGGAAGAAGGCUCUUGGGCUGUCAACCACUUUUCUCAGGGAAGAAGGACUGACGGUACCUGAGGAAUAAGCCUCGGCUAACUCCGUGCCAGCAGCCGCGGUAAUACGGAGGAGGCAAGCGUUAUCCGGAAUUAUUGGGCGUAAAGCGUCCGCAGGGGGCGCAUCAAGUCUGCUGUUAAAGGUCGGAGCUAAACUCCGGUAGAGCAGUGGAAACUGGUGCGCUAGAGGGCGACAGGGGUAGAGGGAAUUCCCAGUGUAGCGGUGAAAUGUGUAGAUAUCGGGAAGAACACCAGUGGCGAAGGCGCUCUACUGGGCCGCGACUGACGCUGAGGGACGAAAGCUAGGGGAGCG
This 379-nucleotide ribosomal RNA is filed under the name uncultured cyanobacterium. Its description in RNAcentral is "bacterial SSU rRNA". It matches the Rfam family "Bacterial small subunit ribosomal RNA", at positions 376 to 770 of the family's 1533-position model. Lineage: Bacteria; Bacillati; Cyanobacteriota. The record is from RNAcentral.